GGCGAGCAAUGCGGGCUGUGCCCUCCCACCCCGCAAGCCCUCCGAGGGACAGCGACAGUGCAGGCAGUGCCGGGGCCACCGGGAGAAAAGGGCCCUGGUGGCCCCCCGGGCAGAGCGGUGAGUGUCCCCUGUGCCCGCCGUGCCCGUUUUGGGGGCGAUGCCCCACCCUGAGCCAUUCCUGCGUUUCCCCCAGGGCAGACCCGGCGAGGCUGGAGAGAAGGGACAGAAGGUGAGAGGGGCUCGGGGUGGCUUGCGGUGGGGUUGGUGGUGGCAGAGGGCGCUGUCACCGCUGUGUGCGGUGUCCCCUACGUCCCCGUGCUAGCUUUGUCCCCUCUUUGCCAGGGCGACGCUGGCAGCCCCGGGGACCCGGGCAGCCCGGGCAUGGCCGGUGUCCCAGGGCUGUCGGGUGAGCCUGGCAUCAGGGGACCAGCCGGCCCCAAAGGCGACAAGGUGAGACCCCCACAUUUUGGGGAGCUGUGCUCUAUCACUGCGGUGUCACCCACCCUCCAUCCCUCUGCUGUCCCCUCCCCGCAGGGAGACCCGUGCCAGCCCGGCCCCGCCGGGCUCGGGGACCUCUUGGACACGGUGGGAAUCCCAGGAAAACCCGGAGCCAAAGGGGACCAGGGCCCGCCGGGCAUCGGCCAGCCGGGCAGACCCGUGAGUGCCCCCUCCCCACGGGCACAGCGCCUGGUGCCAUCGUGUCCUCGGGGUGACCCUGCUGUGUUUUAGGGGAAGCCGGGGCUGCCGGGGGUGCAGGGCCCUGCUGGGCCAAAGGGGCUGCAGGGUGAGCCAGGACCGCGGGGGAUCAGCCAGCCGGGACCACAGGUGGGUUUUGGGGUGCCUGUGUUGUCCCCUGCUGUCCCAUGCUGGGUGGCUCUGGUGCCUUUCACACACUCUGCUUUUCCCAGGGAGACCCCGGGAGCAGCGGACCCCCAGGACCCCCUGUGAGUAGGGUUUGGGGUGGGGUUUUGGGGUGCCCAGCCCUGGGUGAUGGGCGCAGUGCCCAGUUCCUGGGAGCUGUGGGGUGUCACACCCCUGGAGCCCCCUGUGUGGGUUGUGGUCACUCUGGGGACAGUGUUGUCCCCUCACUGGGGGAAACCAACACCCUGUCCUGCCCCCAGGGUCCCCCCGGACCGCAGGGACCCCCGGGGACGGCGGCGGAGAAAGGUGCCAAGGUAAGGGAGUGUCCCCCAGCCCUCGGUGUCCCCCGUGCUCCCCAUUCCUGCUGUCUUUCCUCUGCAGGGAUCUCCGGGCCCCAAAGGUGCCACGGGACCCGCUGGACCACCAGGGAGCAGCGUCACAGGGCCACCGGUGAGUCCUGGCAGUGCCACCCUCCUGGCACCUUGAUCCUGCUCGAGCCGGGGAGUUUCCUCACCCUCCUCUUCCUCGCAGGGCCCCGAGGGGCGGCAGGGGCUCCCUGGGUCCAGCGGGCAGCCGGGGGAGAAGGGUUCCCGUGGAGAGAAGGUGAGUCGGGGUCCGGGUGGAGCCGUGUCCCCCCCGUGCCACCCCCUGCCCGCCCUGCCCUCACCCCCUCUGCCCACAGGGAGACCCUGGGGAGUGCUCCUGCCUCUCCAGCCCCCGCCAGGACCCCAACUACAACGGGAUGCCGGUGA
This is a long non-coding RNA of Parus major (Great Tit), 1613 nucleotides long. NCBI's taxonomy places the organism in Eukaryota, Metazoa, Chordata, Aves, Passeriformes, Paridae. The record is from Ensembl.